GCUAAUCGGCGCAGGGUGAGUCGGCCCCUAAGGCGAGACCGAAAGGUGUAGUCGAUGGGAAACGGAUUAAUAUUUCCGUACCUUGGAUAGCUGCGAUGGAGAGACGGAGAAGGCUAGGUGAGCCGGGCGACGGUUGUCCCGGUUUAAGCAUGUAGGCAGUGGGAUUAGGCAAAUCCGGUCCCACAAUGCCGAGACGCGACGACGACUGCCCUUUUAGGGCGGGAAGUCAUUGAUGCCCUGCUUCCAGGAAAAUCUUCUAAGCUUCAGGCUAUUCGAGACCGUACCCCAAACCGACACAGG
RNAcentral lists this ribosomal RNA (300 nucleotides) under uncultured Bolidomonas. RNAcentral describes it as "partial Bacterial large subunit ribosomal RNA". It matches the Rfam family "Bacterial large subunit ribosomal RNA", at positions 1364 to 1663 of the family's 2925-position model. Lineage: Eukaryota; Bolidophyceae. The record is from RNAcentral.